This 811-nucleotide ribosomal RNA is filed under the name uncultured bacterium. RNAcentral describes it as "bacterial SSU rRNA". It matches the Rfam family "Bacterial small subunit ribosomal RNA", at positions 57 to 875 of the family's 1533-position model. The record is from RNAcentral.
GCAGUCGAGGGGUAUGCCGAUUUAUCGGCAGAGACCGGCGCACGGGUGCGUAACGCGUAUGCAAUCUGCCUUUCACAGAGGGAUAGCCCAGAGAAAUUUGGAUUAAUACCUCAUAGUAUAAUCGGACCGCAUGGUUUAAUUAUUAAAGUCACAACGGUGAAAGAUGAGCAUGCGUCCCAUUAGCUAGUUGGUAAGGUAACGGCUUACCAAGGCAACGAUGGGUAGGGGUCCUGAGAGGGAGAUCCCCCACACUGGUACUGAGACACGGACCAGACUCCUACGGGAGGCAGCAGUGAGGAAUAUUGGACAAUGGGCGCAAGCCUGAUCCAGCCAUGCCGCGUGCAGGAUGACGGUCCUAUGGAUUGUAAACUGCUUUUGUACGAGAAGAAACACUCCUAUGUAUAGGAGCUUGACGGUAUCGUAAGAAUAAGGAUCGGCUAACUCCGUGCCAGCAGCCGCGGUAAUACGGAGGAUCCAAGCGUUAUCCGGAAUCAUUGGGUUUAGAGGGUCCGUAGGCGGUUUAGUAAGUCAGUGGUGAAAGCCCAUCGCUCAACGGUGGAACGGCCAUUGAUACUGCUGAACUUGAAUUAUUAGGAAGUAACUAGAAUAUGUAGUGUAGCGGUGAAAUGCUUAGAGAUUACAUGGAAUACCAAUUGCGAAGGCAGGUUACUACUAAUGGAUUGACGCUGAUGGACGAAAGCGUGGGUAGCGAACAGGAUUAGAUACCCUGGUAGUCCACGCCGUAAACGAUGGAUACUAGCUGUUGGGAGCAAUUUCAGUGGCUAAGCGAAAGUGAUAAGUAUCCCACCUG